Long non-coding RNA from Gossypium raimondii (Peruvian cotton), 1054 nucleotides. RefSeq lists it as uncharacterized. The record is from RefSeq and is a predicted model, not a curated record. Lineage: Eukaryota; Viridiplantae; Streptophyta; Magnoliopsida; Malvales; Malvaceae. The transcript is spliced from 3 exons.
AUGUAGCAUGGGAUAUAACUUUUGUAACGCCCCGAAUUUUCUUAACUAUGAAAUGUUAAUUUAAUUUGGAUUAGAGGUCGACAAUUGUAGUGGUGUGUGUGAGGUUUUGGAUUCAAGCCCUUUCCUGAAAAUUUUGUUAAUCUUUUGUUCUAAUCCCAUCCCUAAUUUUUUGACUUAAGUUUUAUUUCCGUACAAAUUAUGAUAAAAUGAACUUGCUGAUUUGGUGGUAAGAUGUUUAUUAGCUUAUUUCAAAUUGUGAAAUUUUUGUUGUUGGAAGUUGAGUUUCUAAAUAUUUUUAUUUUUAUUUUGAAUUUAUCGAUUCCUAUUUUCUCUCCCACGACCAACCGUCCAAGCUUUUCACCAAUUCCACGUUAUUUUCUUUCUUUCCUCAAGUCUGCCGUUUUUUUCCCUUCUUCUUGCUCCUUUUUCUUCUUCUUUUUCUUUGACCUCUUCCUUCUUUGUUGAUUAAAUCUUGGGUGCUAUCAAUUAUUUUCGGGUGUUCCGUUACACUUGGAACGUAUUUUGUUCGCUGUGCAAACGGUGUGGAAAUCAAGACCCUCCAACGUAGGCUCGGUUUUAGGAGAAGUGAUCCUCGGACUUACGAUUGAAUGACAACUUUGGAGCCCGGAUUUCACAAAUAUUGGUCUAAGUAUAUUUUGGACUUGUUUCUUUUAUGGAUUUUCAGACUUUUGGACAUUUUAAAUUUGUUUGGGACAUUAAAAUUUAUUUUGGCAUUUGUUUUGCAAAAGUUUUAACUUUAAUCAGUGCUUAAGUCAAGACAACUAAAAUAAACAAGGGUUAUAAGAUUGAUUUGUUACAAAGUUUGUUUUAUCAAGCAAAUGAAUUAAGUUGGACUCAAUUAGUAAAGCUAAGUAAACGAGAUUUUCAUCAACAUAUUCACGGGUUUCAGAAUUGAUACGCUUUUCAACGAGUUAUUCAAAAUUGGUUUUUCUUUAAGCUGAAAGUGGGUUUUCACCAAAAUUAAGCAUUAGUGUUUUCACGUAUCAUGUAACUUCCACAAUCCACAAUCUGGUCAUAACGUCUAGGUCGAAUC